Molecule: ribosomal RNA, 497 nt
Filed under: uncultured bacterium
Lineage: Bacteria
Description: partial 16S ribosomal RNA
Rfam family: Bacterial small subunit ribosomal RNA
Source: RNAcentral
GAUGAACGCUGGCGGCGUGCCUAAUACAUGCAAGUCGAGCGAACAGACGAGGAGCUUGCUCCUCUGACGUUAGCGGCGGACGGGUGAGUAACACGUGGAUAACCUACCUAUAAGACUGGGAUAACUCCGGGAAACCGGAGCUAAUACCGGAUAACAUGUUGAACCGCAUGGUUCAACAGUGAAAGACGGUCUUGCUGUCACUUAUAGAUGGAUCCGCGCCGCAUUAGCUAGUUGGUAAGGUAACGGCUUACCAAGGCAACGAUGCGUAGCCGACCUGAGAGGGUGAUCGGCCACACUGGAGCCGAGACACGGUCCAGACUCCUACGGGAGGCAGCAGUAGGGAAUCUUCCACAAUGGGCGAAAGCCUGACGGAGCAACGCCGCGUGAGUGAAGAAGGUCUUCGGAUCGUAAAACUCUGUUAUUAGGGAAGAACAAAUGUGUAAGUAACUAUGCACGUCUUGACGGUACCUAAUCAGAAAGCCACGGCUAACUACGUG